GACGAACGCUGGCGGCGUGCUUAACACAUGCAAGUCGAACGGAAAGGCCCUGCUUUUGUGGGGUGCUCGAGUGGCGAACGGGUGAGUAACACGUGAGUAACCUGCCCUUGACUUUGGGAUAACUUCAGGCAACUGGGGCUAAUACCGGAUAGGAGCUCCCGCUGCAUGGUGGGGGUUGGAUAGUUUCGGCGGUUGGGAUUGGACUCGCGGCUUAUCAGCUUGUUGGUGGGGUAGUGGCUUACCAAGGCUUUGACGGGUAGCAGGCCUGAGCGGGUGACCGGCCACACUGGGACUGGAAUACGGCACAGACUCCUACGGGAGGCAGCAGUGGGGAAUAUUGUACAAUGGGCGGAAGCCUGAUGCAGCAACGCAGCGUGCGGGAUGACGGCCUGCGGGUUGUAAACCGAUUUCGCCUGUGCCGAAGCGUGAAUGACGGUAAUGGGUAAAGAAGCACCGGCUAACUACGUG
This 468-nucleotide ribosomal RNA is filed under the name uncultured bacterium. Its description in RNAcentral is "partial 16S ribosomal RNA". It matches the Rfam family "Bacterial small subunit ribosomal RNA", at positions 28 to 507 of the family's 1533-position model. The record is from RNAcentral.